UUAAGUUCAGCGGGUAUCCCUACCUGAUCCGAGGUCAACCUGAAAAAAUUGGGGGUUAUUGGCAAGUAACCACUUGGAUCUCCAAAGCGAGAAGAAUUACUACGCUUGAAGCCAAAUGGCACCGCCACUGAUUUUAAGACCUGCCAGAAACUGGCAAUGUCCAAUACCAAGCGGUUGCUUGAGAUUAUACUGACGCUCAG
RNAcentral lists this unclassified non-coding RNA (200 nucleotides) under uncultured Thelebolus. Its description in RNAcentral is "sequence contains ITS2". Lineage: Eukaryota; Fungi; Ascomycota; Leotiomycetes; Thelebolales; Thelebolaceae. The record is from RNAcentral.